UACGUAGGGGGCAAGCGUUGUCCGGAAUUAUUGGGCGUAAAGAGCGUGUAGGCGGUCCGGUAAGUCAGCUGUGAAAGUCAAGGGCUCAACCCUUGAAUGCCGGUUGAUACUGUCGGGCUAGAGUCCGGAAGAGGCGAGUGGAAUUCCCGGUGUAGCGGUGAAAUGCGCAGAUAUCAGGAGGAACACCGGUGGCGAAGGCGGUGAUCUGGGCCAGUACUGACGCUGAGGAGCGAAAGCGUGGGGAGCAAACAGG
Molecule: ribosomal RNA, 253 nt
Filed under: uncultured bacterium
Lineage: Bacteria
Description: partial 16S ribosomal RNA
Rfam family: Bacterial small subunit ribosomal RNA
Source: RNAcentral